UGGCGGACGGGUGAGUAACGCGUGGAAAACCUGCCGUAUACUGGGGGAUAACACUUAGAAAUAGGUGCUAAUACCGCAUAAGGCGCACAGCUUCGCAUGAAGCGGUGUGAAAAACUCUGGUGGUAUACGAUGGUUCCGCGUCUGAUUAGCUAGUUGGUGGGGUAAUGGCCUACCAAGGCAACGAUCAGUAGCCGGCCUGAGAGGGUGAACGGCCACAUUGGGACUGAGACACGGCCCAAACUCCUACGGAAGGCAGCAG
Molecule: ribosomal RNA, 259 nt
Filed under: uncultured bacterium
Lineage: Bacteria
Description: partial 16S ribosomal RNA
Rfam family: Bacterial small subunit ribosomal RNA
Source: RNAcentral